UAUUGAACCUAAAGCAAAAACAUAGUUCAAGUUUCUCUCUCUAAAUUUGGUUUAAUUCUCUCUCUCCAAACUUACAUAAAUUGAUGAAUAUGUCUUGAGCACUCACCCCUCUCCUCCAAAAUGGGGUGGCUCCAAUCCCUCCUCUCUCCCUUCAAGAAGCUGUGGAUUCGUCUCAAUUCCGCUCAGAAGAAGAGUAGAGGGAUAUACAUUUUGUACGAGGAUGUGAAAUCGUGCCCUUACGAAGAUGUGCACGUGCUUUGGUCCAUAUUGGUGGAGUCGCAUCGGCCGCCACUGCCACUGCCAUUGCCACCGCCGCCGCCCAAGUGACUCGAGGCGUGUAACCAAAGAGAUUGAACACAUACAUGUACAUAAUUAAGAUAGAAACUUUCCUCCCCUUUUUGGGUUACCUUUUUCAAUUUUCACAUUGUGGUUUUUCAAUCAUGUUCGAGUGAGGAAAAGUUUUUAAAUUAUUCAAGUCUAUAGAGUUACAUUUCCUAUGAGUUAUGUAAUCAAUUAUAGUAUAUUACUAAAAAAACGUUUUUCUAAUAAAUAUUAUAUAGUAUACCAUAUCA
Long non-coding RNA from Salvia hispanica, 572 nucleotides. RefSeq lists it as uncharacterized. The record is from RefSeq and is a predicted model, not a curated record. Lineage: Eukaryota; Viridiplantae; Streptophyta; Magnoliopsida; Lamiales; Lamiaceae.